Molecule: ribosomal RNA, 388 nt
Filed under: uncultured prokaryote
Description: partial 16S ribosomal RNA
Source: RNAcentral
UUCACGCCAGAAUACGAAAGACCAGGUAUAUGCACAAAAUGAGAUGCUUGCUUAUCAACAGAAGGAGUCUACUGCUCGCGUUGCGUCUAUUAUGGAAAACACCAAUCUUUCCAAGCAACAGCAGGUUUCCGAGAUUAUGCGCCAAAUGCUUACUCAAGCUCAAACGGCUGGUCAGUAUUUUACCAAUGACCAAAUCAAAGAAAUGACUCGCAAGGUUAGUGCUGAGGUUGACUUAGUUCAUCAGCAAACGCAGAAUCAGCGGUAUGGCUCUUCUCAUAUUGGCGCUACUGCAAAGGAUAUUUCUAAUGUCGUCACUGAUGCUGCUUCUGGUGUGGUUGAUAUUUUUCAUGGUAUUGAUAAAGCUGUUGCCGAUACUUGGAACAAUUUC